CCUAGGAUAUGAGUUUUAUGUCAUUAAGAAAAAAAUUAAAUAGUUUUCUCUCUCUGCCCCUCCCUUCCCCCUCUCUCUCUCUUUCUCAAAAACAAACAUUAAAAAAUUUUUAAAAAUUUAAAUAGUUCAUGCAAAAGUGCUUCAUGAACUACAUGCUAUUCUGCAAGGAUUGGCCACUUUUUAAUUAUUAUCAAGGCUAAUAAAUUUUUAUUUUCAUCAAGUAAAAAAAAUUAAACGUAUUAGUGCCCAUAAGUAAAUACAAUAGUACUCAAUGCUUCCCAGUUAUGUUGUUUUUCUUUUUCUUUUUUUUUCUUUUUUUUUUUUUUUUACAUUUAUUUGUUUUUGAGAGACAGAGCUAAAGUGGAGGAGGGGCAGAGAGAGAAGGAGACACAGAAUCUGAAGCAGGCUCCAGGCUCUGAGCUGUCAGCACAGAACCCGCCAUGAGCAAACAUUCAGCACAGAGUCUGAUGUGAGGCUCGAACCCAAGAACUGUGAGAUCACGACCCGAGCCAAAGUCGGAUGCUUUGCCACUCAGGCGCCACUGCUUUUCUUUAAUUGUAAACCAAGGUCUUGGGUUUUGCUAACAUUUUCAUGGGUUAACGUUAGUAAGAAGGCAGAAAGUUUAAUAAGUAAUUGUUCUUCAUAACAGAAGUGCAGAUUGACUCUGAUUAGUAAACAUUCUCUUCAUGGUACAGAUAGAGCAGCAGAGUGACUUGCCUGCCAUCGCACAUCGGCAGAACCGGGAUGGACAGUCAGACCUGUGUGACACCAGAGCCCUCGAAUUUUCCGGUCAUUGCUCCCGACCUUGUUUGUCGGUUUGCUUUUUCACACAGAGCCGUUUUGAUCAAGUUCAGAGCAGCUCAGAACUUCCUCUCCCAAGCGAAACGGUCCAGAUAGACCCCAGGCCAAUUCUACUCAACAAGCCAGGGCCAGCGGUCCUGUUUACAGCAGAAUCACCCAGGUCUGGGCUCCCCGCCAGCCCGGCCCAGGCCGCACCUCCUGGCCCGGCCCCACGGAGGAGAAAAGAAAGUGCACAGCAGGGGACACAACCUGUGGUCACACGACUCGGGUUCUCUGGAGUCUAACUUUGCUUCUGUUUCUGUAGCUUGAAUAAAAUACUUCACCCUUUUCCGUUUAUUUGCACAGAAAGCUGUUUAACAUCGGGGCGCGGGGGCAAGGGAGGGGGGCACAACCACGUGCGCUGCGAUGAUUUCCAAUCACAACACACACGCCCAAAGAGGGGGGAAGAUGGUCAGCGAUAGAUUUCCUUUCUAAAAUUCUUUAAAAUAAAUGCCCUGGUGGAGGCAGCCUGGCAUAUUUCCACUCUGUGAAUAAUUGUUGAGAAACACAACGCUUGGCACACCACCUGCCCAGUGCCCGGGCCCCGCUCCAGACCCCAGUUUGGCAACCAGGUCCCCAGGGCCUGAGUGUCUGGAGACUGUCUAC
This 1446-nucleotide long non-coding RNA is filed under the name Suricata suricatta (meerkat). Its description in RNAcentral is "lncRNA (ENSSSUG00005001128.1)". Lineage: Eukaryota; Metazoa; Chordata; Mammalia; Carnivora; Herpestidae. The record is from RNAcentral.